RNAcentral lists this unclassified non-coding RNA (327 nucleotides) under soil metagenome. RNAcentral describes it as "partial contains 5.8S ribosomal RNA, internal transcribed spacer 2, and large subunit ribosomal RNA". The stretch from base 1 to 120 matches the Rfam family "5.8S ribosomal RNA", at positions 35 to 154 of the family's 154-position model. The record is from RNAcentral.
GAUGAAGAACGUAGCGAAAUGCGAUACUUGGUGUGAAUUGCAGAAUUCAGUGAAUCAUCGAAUCUUUGAACGCACAUUGCGCCCCUUGGUAUUCCGGGGGGCAUGCCUGUUCGAGCGUCAUUAUAACCCCUCAAGCUCAGCUUGGUGUUGGGGCCUGCCGACUGGCAGCCCUUAAAAUCAGUGGCGGCGCCAUCUGGCUCUAAGCGUAGUAAUUUCUCUCGCUAUAGAGUCCCGGUGGAUGCUUGCCAGCAACCCCCAACUUUCUAUGGUUGACCUCGGAUCAGGUAGGGAUACCCGCUGAACUUAAGCAUAUCAAUAAGCGGAGGA